CCGCCCAUAGCUCAGCUGGAUAGAGCACCAGGCUUCGAACCUGGGUGUCGGGAGUUCGAAUCUCUCUGGGCGGGCCA
This 77-nucleotide transfer RNA is filed under the name Pseudomonadales bacterium. RNAcentral's name for it is "tRNA-Arg". It matches the Rfam family "tRNA". From Rfam's summary of the family: Transfer RNA (tRNA) molecules are approximately 80 nucleotides in length. Their secondary structure includes four short double-helical elements and three loops (D, anti-codon, and T loops). The record is from RNAcentral. Lineage: Bacteria; Pseudomonadati; Pseudomonadota; Gammaproteobacteria; Pseudomonadales. RNAcentral also lists the same sequence under 8 other names.